AACGUUAUAUUUUAAGUAUAAAAGGUCUGAUUUGCAUUCAGGUGUUGGGAAGAAUCUCUAGCGUUG
This 66-nucleotide transfer RNA is filed under the name Lineus viridis. RNAcentral describes it as "tRNA-Ala". The record is from RNAcentral. Lineage: Eukaryota; Metazoa; Nemertea; Pilidiophora; Heteronemertea; Lineidae.